This is a long non-coding RNA of Zonotrichia leucophrys gambelii, 1585 nucleotides long. RefSeq lists it as uncharacterized. The transcript is spliced from 3 exons. The record is from RefSeq and is a predicted model, not a curated record. NCBI's taxonomy places the organism in Eukaryota, Metazoa, Chordata, Aves, Passeriformes, Passerellidae.
AUGUGUAUUUACACUCUGUGUAUACUUGCACUGUAUGUAUCAGCUUAUAUUGCGUGUACUUACAUUGUACCACUUAUGAUCGGAGCUGCCCUGCCCUGGUACGUAGUCACAGUUAGGUAGAACAGUUAUAGAAAUUUUACUCUUCCUCAGAAGCCUAGCAGAGGUAUUCCCAUGUCCUACAGCACACAAGGUUAUCUACUGCACUCAUAGGAAUGCUGUCCAACUUUGCCUUUCUCUAACCCAGGUGCCACUGCUAAUAAAGGCCACAGCCUUGGAAUCAGGGUGAAGCUGGAGCCUAAAGCAGCCAGGCACACUCAGGAGAGGCUAACCAAGAAGCUAACAGGCCAUCACGAGGCGUUCCAAGGCAGACUCAUUUCAGGUGCCACAUCACCAAUCAUCCAAACGAUAAGUUGGGGGCCAGGGCUUGGAGAUGGGAUGAUGGGAGAGUAGCAGGUUGGGAGAUCUUGGGGCAGAUGUAAAAAUUAGCAGAGGGAAAAGCAAUCUUCUCCAAGGGCCUCUUAGGACAGCUAAAGGGAGAGGCUCUACUUUUGAUGGCAGCUUUCAGGCAGGAAGUGCAGAACAGUUCUGGUCUAUGUUGUGUUGUCCAGUGUGCUGUGUUACCUAGUGUGUCUUUGAGGUCCCUUCUACCUUCUCUCCUCGAGGCCCUCACCACAAGCAUGAUGUGUCAUGUUUAAUGUCCCCCUGUUUGUCGUGUUCUGUGUCACGGGUGUCUGCACACAUUUGUGCCGGAGCUGUCCUGCCCUGCCGCAUAGCCAGCUGCAAUAGGACAAGUCCUGGGGCCUUGCAGUUUGUGGGGUGUCACUGGACUCUAGAUGAUAUUUCUAGAUAGACACAAGAUGUUUGGAGCUGUGAAGUCAUCCUGCAGCCCUUUUACUUUUGUCCUAACUUUCUGAUGAAGAGGAUAAAAUCCAUGGCAAAAUCCAUCCAUCCACCCAUGCCGGGUGAGGAGGUUCCCCAGAGCAGGUCAGUCACUGUUUGUCUCUGCAGGGGGAGUUUAAAGUGUGACUCUGUUACAGCACUGUUCUUUUUCUUUUUAGGAAGUAAAGCUGGAUAUCAGCAGUCAAGGUGAGAUGGGCAAGCUGGCUAAGAAACACCAGGAGAUUGUUGAACAGCAGUGCCAGCAGGACCUUCCCAGAUGUAGAGGCCACCAUCUUUUGUACAUGACAUGGGCCUGCAUCCUGAGAUGUCUGAGAGAUAAGUAGAGGGCUAAGUCCCACAGAGGGGUGAGAGCGGGGUGCUGGUUUGGGAAUUACUGGGAGGGGUUUCUGAGUCUACUUUGGAGGUGGGGGGUGUUCAUGAAGUGGCCCCUUAGGCCCCAUAAAAGCAAAGUCUCACUUUUGAUGACAGUGCUGAGGUGUGCAGCAGGGCAGAGCAGUCCUGGUGUGUCUUGUGUCACUUGUCUGCUGUGCAUUAUGUGUUGUUUGUGUAUCUCAUGUCUUUUACCUUAGCCUUUGAGGGGUCUGUCAGAAACCCUGGCAUUAUUGUUAGCAUCUGUGAUCUCUGCAUUCCUUGGCCUGGCACCCAGGCCAUAGAUGCGAUUCUGAUACCUGUCUGAGCUCCUGAG